Molecule: long non-coding RNA, 681 nt
Filed under: Physcomitrium patens
Lineage: Eukaryota; Viridiplantae; Streptophyta; Bryopsida; Funariales; Funariaceae
Description: long non-coding RNA (PPAT_LNC011452)
Source: RNAcentral
AGAGGACUGUUAAAAAGAAGGAGAAUAUUCUAUUGAACAAGGAUCAAGAAAGAAAAAGAAAAGAAACGGACACGACGGGGCACUCAUUUUCUCUUUCUCUGCCCUCCAGGGCCCUCUUUAUCCCUCUCACUUUUUCUUUUUUAUCCCUGCCUUUUUCCUUUCUGACCACUCGUUGUCCUUUUGGUCCUGGAGAUCUCAAGUGAGUGUGUGAAUGAAUGUAUGGAUGGAUGUCCCCUACGUGAGUGAGUGAGUGCCCGAUUCCCAUUGCCUACCUGCCUGCCUGCCUGCCUGGCUGCAUCCUCACCACUCACUACUUACUCCCCUACAAACACUCACUCACUCACUCAAUACUCACUCACUACUCAUUGGUAGUGCUCACUAAUUACUCAGCAUUUGAUCCCAUUAGCAAUCACAGAAUGGGGGGAGGGGACCUUUUUCUAUCACCCUGUCUUAAAUGACAUGUUUUAAACUGGGAACACAUGUUGGAAUUAUUUUUAUUUAUUUUAUAAUGAACUUUCCUUUCAUGCUAAAGUAGGAACUACAGCUGAGUUUAAUCCAAGCCUCCAGAACAAAGUAGACAAUCAAUUCAAAUAAGUACAUGAACAAAUCUUAAUUAACAUUGAUAAGGAGGAAGAAAUUUAUGAAUAAAUAUAUGAUGAUGAAUUUCAGUUCAUAAUUUUU